RNAcentral lists this long non-coding RNA (338 nucleotides) under Mytilus galloprovincialis (Mediterranean mussel). The record is from RNAcentral. Lineage: Eukaryota; Metazoa; Mollusca; Bivalvia; Mytilida; Mytilidae.
GUUAUUUAUCUGUAAAUAUCAAGACUACGAAAUAGUGACUAAUGCAGUAUUCUUUUCUUAGAAUCUAGUGACGCACAAUCACCUUAAGUGGCUUGGACAUGUCCCUUGUUUACAACGCCUGAUGAUGUGUAUGUACCCUGCCUUUUGAUGUUUAACAUAUUGUUCUCCAGGAAAACAUUUCAUAACGACACACACUCAUAUUUUGAUUUCAGAAGUGACAAGUCUUUGUUUGAACUUCUAAAUGAACCAUGCUUGGCAAAAAAGUAGGAUAUGUCAAUUUUAAAGUGUUUAAUCUCACGCAGUCGACGACCAAACAACCUCCCGCAUUCGAAACGAAC